AUUGGAGAGAUGUCCUGCAGUGCUGCCUCCACAGCCUGAGAGAAGAUCCCUGGUGAUAGCUACAGGUCAUGUUUCUAGAGCCCAUUCAGCUCUCCCAGCGCUUCUCUACCAUACAUGGCAGAUUGCAAGACAGCAGCAGCAGCUUCUACAGCAACAACACAAAAUCAAUUUGCUCCAGCAACAGAUCCAGGUUCAAGGUCAGCUGCCGCCAUUAAUGAUUCCCGUAUUCCCUCCUGAUCAACGGACACUGGCUGCAGCUGCCCAGCAAGGAUUCCUCCUCCCUCCAGGCUUCAGCUAUAAGGCUGGAUGUAGUGACCCUUACCCUGUUCAGCUGAUCCCAACUACCAUGGCAGCUGCUGCCGCAGCAACACCAGGCUUAGGCCCACUCCAACUGCAGCAGUUAUAUGCUGCCCAGCUAGCUGCAAUGCAGGUAUCUCCAGGAGGGAAGCUGCCAGGCAUACCCCAAGGCAACCUUGGUGCUGCUGUAUCUCCUACCAGCAUUCACACAGACAAGAGCACAAACAGCCCACCACCCAAAAGCAAGGAUGAAGUGGCACAGCCACUGAACCU
Molecule: long non-coding RNA, 570 nt
Filed under: Homo sapiens (human)
Lineage: Eukaryota; Metazoa; Chordata; Mammalia; Primates; Hominidae
Description: non-protein coding lnc-SOX5-5:35
Source: RNAcentral